CCAAUAGCGUAUAUUAAAGUUGUUGCAGUUAAAAAGCUCGUAGUUGAAUUUCGGGGUUAGUAGGUUGGUCAUGCCUCUGGUAUGUACUGGUCUCACUGAUUCCUCCUUCCUGAUGAACCUUAAUGCCAUUAAUUUGGUGUUUUGGGGAAUUUGGACUGUUACUUUGAAAAAAUUAGAGUGUUUAAAGCAAGCUAACGCUUGAAUACAUUAGCAUGGAAUAAUGAAAUAGGACGUUCGAUCCUAUUUUGUUGGUUUCUAGGAUUGACGUAAUGAUUAACAGGGAUAGUUGGGGGCAUUAGUAUUCAAUUGUCAGAGGUGAAAUUCUUGGAUUUAUUGAAGACUAACUACUGCGAAAGCAUUUGCCAAGGAUGUUUUCAUUAAUCAAGAACGAAAGUUAGGGGAUCGAAGACGAUCAGAUACCGUCGUAGUCUUAACCAUAAACUAUGCCGACUAGGGAUCGGAUGAUGUUAAUUUUUUAAUGACUCAUUCGGCGCCUUACG
This 500-nucleotide ribosomal RNA is filed under the name uncultured Glomeromycotina. RNAcentral describes it as "partial small subunit ribosomal RNA". It matches the Rfam family "Eukaryotic small subunit ribosomal RNA", at positions 591 to 1092 of the family's 1831-position model. Lineage: Eukaryota; Fungi; Glomeromycota. The record is from RNAcentral.